GAUGAACGCUAGCGGCGGGCUUAAUACAUGCAAGUCGAGGGGCAGCACGGUUAGCAAUAACUGGUGGCGACCGGCGCACGGGUGCGUAACACGUAUACAAUCUACCUUAAACAGGGGGAUAGCCUUUCGAAAGAGAGAUUAAUACCCCGUAAUAAAUUGAACGGCAUCGUUUGAUUUUGAAAGCUCCGGCGGUUUGAGAUGAGUAUGCGUCUGAUUAGCUAGUUGGUGAGGUAACGGCUCACCAAGGCGACGAUCAGUAGGGGAUCUGAGAGGACUAACCCCCACACUGGUACUGAGACACGGACCAGACUCCUACGGGAGGCAGCAGUAAGGAAUAUUGGUCAAUGGAGGCAACUCUGAACCAGCCAUGCCGCGUGCAGGAUGACGGCCCUAUGGGUUGUAAACUGCUUUUGCCAGGGAUAAAAUUUCCAUGCGUGGAAAACUGAAGGUACCUGGUGAAUAAGCCACGGCUAACUACGUGCCAGCAG
Molecule: ribosomal RNA, 488 nt
Filed under: uncultured bacterium
Lineage: Bacteria
Description: bacterial SSU rRNA
Rfam family: Bacterial small subunit ribosomal RNA
Source: RNAcentral